UGGGUUUGACAUCCUCUGACCGUCUGGGAAACCAGAUUUUUCCGGUUCGCCGGAACAGAGUGACAGGUGCUGCAUGGCUGUCGUCAGCUCGUGUCGUGUGAUGUUGGGUUAAGUCCCGCAACGAGCGUAACCCUUGUUUUUAGUUGCCAGUAUUAAGUUAGGCACUCUAAAGAGACUGCCUCGGUUAACGGGGAGGAAGGUGGGGAUGACGUCAAGUCCUCAUGGCCUUUAUACCCAGGGCUACACACGUGCUACAAUGGACUGUACAAAGGGUUGCUAAUCCGUGAGGAGGAGCUAAUCCCAAAAAGCAGUUCUCAGUUCGGAUUGAAGUCUGCAACUCGACUUCAUGAAG
RNAcentral lists this ribosomal RNA (352 nucleotides) under uncultured bacterium. Its description in RNAcentral is "bacterial SSU rRNA". It matches the Rfam family "Bacterial small subunit ribosomal RNA", at positions 976 to 1325 of the family's 1533-position model. The record is from RNAcentral.